AUUGAAAGCUGGCGGCAGGCCUAACACCUGCAAGUCGAACGAGUGGCGGACGGGUGCGUAAUGUCUGGGAAACUGCCUGAUGGAGGGGGAUAACUACUGGAAACGGUAGCUAAUACCGCAUACCAUCAGAUGUGCCCAUAUGGGAUUGGCUGGUGGGGGGGGUAACGGCUCACCAAGGCGACGAUCCCUAGCGGGUCUGAGAGGAUGACCAGCCACACUGUAACUGAGACACGGUCCAGACGCCUACGGGAGGCAGCAGUGGGGAAUAUUGCACAAUGGGAGCAAGCCUGAUUCAGCCAUGCCUCGUGUAUGAAGAAGGCCUUCGGGUUGUAAAGUACUUUCAGCGGUGAGGCGUUACCCGCAGAAUAAGCACCGGCUAACUCCGUGCCAGCAGCCGCGGUAAUUC
This 406-nucleotide ribosomal RNA is filed under the name uncultured bacterium. RNAcentral describes it as "partial 16S ribosomal RNA". It matches the Rfam family "Bacterial small subunit ribosomal RNA", at positions 30 to 526 of the family's 1533-position model. The record is from RNAcentral.